This 253-nucleotide ribosomal RNA is filed under the name uncultured bacterium. Its description in RNAcentral is "partial 16S ribosomal RNA". It matches the Rfam family "Bacterial small subunit ribosomal RNA", at positions 524 to 776 of the family's 1533-position model. The record is from RNAcentral.
UACGUAGGAGACGAGCGUUGUCCGGAAUUACUGGGCGUAAAGCGCGUGUAGGCGGAUGAGCAAGUCUGCUGUGAAAGCUCCUGGCUUAACCGGGAGUGGUCGGUGGAAACUGCUCGUCUGGAGGACGGUAGAGGUAGGUAGAAUUCCCGGUGUAGUGGUGAAAUGCGCAGAUAUCAGGAGGAACACCAAUUGCGAAGGCAGCUCGCUGGGACGUUACUGACGCUGAGACGCGAAAGCGUGGGGAGCAAACAGG